RNAcentral lists this transfer RNA (74 nucleotides) under Acidimicrobiaceae bacterium. Its description in RNAcentral is "tRNA-Trp". It matches the Rfam family "tRNA". Rfam says of the family: Transfer RNA (tRNA) molecules are approximately 80 nucleotides in length. Their secondary structure includes four short double-helical elements and three loops (D, anti-codon, and T loops). The record is from RNAcentral. RNAcentral also lists the same sequence under 3 other names. Lineage: Bacteria; Bacillati; Actinomycetota; Acidimicrobiia; Acidimicrobiales; Acidimicrobiaceae.
AGGGCAGUAGCUCAAUUUGGUAGAGCACCGGUCUCCAAAACCGGCGGUUGCGGGUUCGAGUCCCUCCUGCCCUG